This 443-nucleotide ribosomal RNA is filed under the name Salmonella enterica subsp. enterica serovar Typhimurium. RNAcentral's name for it is "bacterial SSU rRNA". It matches the Rfam family "Bacterial small subunit ribosomal RNA", at positions 260 to 695 of the family's 1533-position model. Lineage: Bacteria; Pseudomonadati; Pseudomonadota; Gammaproteobacteria; Enterobacterales; Enterobacteriaceae. The record is from RNAcentral.
ACGGCUCACGAAGGCGUCGAUCCCUAGCUGGUCUGAGAGGAUGACCAGCCACACUGGAACUGAGACACGGUCCAGACUCCUACGGGAGGCAGCAGUGGGGAAUAUUGCACAAUGGGCGCAAGCCUGAUGCAGCCAUGCCGCGUGUAUGAAGAAGGCCUUCGGGUUGUAAAGUACUUUCAGCGGGGAGGAAGGUGUUGUGGUUAAUAACCGCAUCAAUUGACGUUACCCGCAGAAGAAGCACCGGCUAACUCCGUGCCAGCGGCCGCUGUAAUACGGAGGGUGCAAGCGUUAAUCGGAAUUACUGGGCGUAAAGCGCACGCAGGCGGUCUGUCAAGUCGGAUGUGAAAUCCCCGGGCUCAACCUGGGAACUGCAUUCGAAACUGGCAGGCUUGAGUCUUGUAUAGGGGGGUAGAAUUCCAGGUGUAGCGGUGAAAUGCGUAGAG